Ictalurus punctatus (channel catfish) is the source of this 1588-nucleotide long non-coding RNA. The record is from Ensembl. Lineage: Eukaryota; Metazoa; Chordata; Actinopteri; Siluriformes; Ictaluridae.
GCAGCUUUUGUUAGGAUCCUCACGUUAGAAAACAGUCCAUUAUAACAACCCAUGCGAUCUCAAUGAAUGGACACUCCUGCAUUUGUAUCUGCAUCAGUACCCCUCGUUGCAUCAAUGUCGAGUAACAUUGCAGAAGAGAGAAUGAGGCCAAUAAAUGUUUCGUGUGUUGUAAUUUAAUGUUGUUGUUUUUUUCCAGAUUGACUGCUAUGCUGUCCAUGGUAUGACAGAUGACCAGCUAAUUAAAUACGUGCCCAAAAUUGGAGAUCGGAUAGCUAUUCGGCAGUACUGCAGAAGAGAAAUGGCUGCACUGGAAGGAACCACCUCAACUAUCUCUAAGGCUACAGAAAGCCUGAUGGCAAAAAUAAACUAAAGACGGGCCUCCAAGAGAAUUCAUGGGGAUGGUCAUUCCGAAAAAUUGUCAGGUCUUCAACAGGCACAGACCUCCUAGUUGCCCAGAAUAUCCAGGUCUGAUUCAUGGAGCCGGAGAGUAUGUUUACUAGAACACCCCAGGCCCACACAUGCGGCUGUGUGUUGGAAGUCCCAAAGAACUAUACAUCAUACCCAGGGUUGGCUGAAGAGUUCAUUAAUGUUCUUGAUGCAAACAUGUGGGUCAUGGACAUUAUUUAGUGAGAUCCGGCGCACACCAGAGGGAAAACGCUCCUUCUCCGACUGCCGCACCGGCAUGACGUGGGCAGCUUCCUGCCGAACAUUCCGCCAGCUGGAAGGACCGCCGCGGCAGGGCGGGGCUGACGCGACUCCGGCCCGCGAUUGGCGGAUCCAACGGGGAAGUCCCACCACUCAGGCGACGACGGAGGAGGAUAAAAGAGCGCGCUUCCGGCCGGGAAGCGGAAGAGAAUAUCGUGGCGUCAAAACGGACUCCGAGUCGUAAGCGCGGACGAGACCGCCGGAUAGUGAGAGUCGCACACACGGAGGACGCCGGCCCGGGAAAACCCCCGCCCCGCCUCGGGAAUCCCGCCUCCGCCACGAGUCGACUCCGCCGGCCGUCACGCCUUCACAAACCCCCGCACUCUUCCAUUUAUCACACGUUCACCUCACCCUAGCCACAAUAAAGCACCGUCUGCAACCACCCUUUGGUCUCCUGUGGGUCUGUACGCCGCCCUUCCCCGGGCUAAUUCCUCACAACUGGUGGAGGAUGCAGGCAUAGUACAGACCCGCCUACUGCAAAGGAAAAAAAAAAAAAAAAAAAAAAAAAACCCCAUCAAAAGAAAAACACAAAAAAAAAAAAAAAAAAAAAAAAAAAAAAAAAAUGGACCCCACCCUGCAACACUUGCUGGAGACCAGCCUCCAGCAGCACGCCGUGACGCAGCAGCUCGCCGAAAGCCUUCAGGUCGCCACACAGACACUGAUCGCCAUGAGGACUGAGACCCCCGCCGCCUCCACGCCUCUCCCCGACGCAACCAGCGAGAUCCGCCGCCUACUACCCCCCCUUGGCCCCGAAGAGGACCUUGAGGCGUACUUCGAGACCUUCGAGAGUAUCGCCUGCCGGGAGGGGUGGGACCGUGACGACUGGCCCCGUGCCCUUGGUCCCCUGCUCACGGGAGAGGCCCGAACAGCCUACUAUGCCCUC